GUAUGUCCUUAACCUUGGCACAACAAAUCUCUAAAUCGAUUGAGACCUGUCUCAGAUACUUUUUGGUUUAUAAGAUGGGGGCUGAAAUUAAAGAGAAAGCUCCUCACUCAGCUCACAAAGGAGCAGAAUGGGAAGAGGACUUAGUGAGAAUUCCCUGAACACAGGAGAAAACCGAAGCCCAGAGAGUGGAUGGCCAAGUCCAAGGCCACAUAGCCAAGUGCAUCUGAGCAGCGCAGGAUCCAGGUUUCCUGCCCCAGUGCUGUUUCUGCAGCCCGUGCCACCUGUUUUCAUACUAUCUCGGUUCACCAUCCAGCUACACACCUGCAAUCAGAAACAGAAAGUCUGAGAGUGUGUGUGGAGCCAAAGAGGGGACAGCAGUGGUGCGGCCAGUUUCAUGUCUUGUGAUUUAUUUUCUCCCUUUCUUUUUGGACUUUAAUCUUAAGUGGACAGCAGUUUGGAACAGUGCCAGCACCUUGUUGGAUUGUGCUGUUUGGGAGAGGUGACACAGAGUAUUUUAAAAGAGCAGGUUAAGAACUUUUCAUAAAGAAUCAAUUGAGAAAAAAUAAAAUAGAAACAGAAUGUCCCACAUUUGGGCUGAGCACCAAACAAAUUUUUUUUUUUUUUUUUUGAGACUGAGUCUUGCUGUGUCACUCAGGCUGGAAUGCAGUGGUGCGAUCUCGGCUCACUGCAGCCUUCGCCUCCCAGGUUCAAGUGAUUCUUCUGCCUCAGCCUCCCAAGUAGCUGGGAUUACAGGUGCCCACCACCACGCCAGGCUAAUUUUUGUAUUUUUAGUAGAGACGGGGUUUCACCAUGUUGACCAGGCUGGUCUUGAACUCCUGACCAAGUGAUCCACCUGCUUCGGCCACCCAAAGUGCUGGGAUUAUAGGCAUGAGCCACCGCACCUGGCCUCAAACAAGCUUUUUAAUUGCAUUCAGAAGUGCACCAACUAGGCACAGACCUCUGGCAUGGAAACAGAAUGGGAGGUUCUUGGUGUCUGGCCUGGUCUUGCAGAAAUCAGGGAGUUGCCGGGACCAGGCAGCCACUGUGCAUCAGAUAGGAGUUUCAGCAGCAGGCAACAGAAAGCCUGCCAAUGUAGCUGAAAUAAGAAGGGCUUAUUUUUAUCCCUGAACAGAAGCUUCCAGCACUGGUUCAUCAGGUCAGGGCACUGAGCUGGCAUCCCCAUUUAUACAGUUUUCCUUUCCUUCACCUUUGUAAGAUGCCUGGCACAGCUCUGAGCAUCAAAUAUCUGUGCCAUGUGGGAGCACACGAGGGGACAAGUGGGGAAUAGGGUCUCCUCCGUCCUCUGUCCCCAGGCUGGCUUCUCUCAUGGUAGAAGGACCCCCACAGCACCAGGCCUCAUAACUACCCUGCUGGUAAACUGCAGGUGCUGUCAAGGCUUCCUGCCUUCGUAUAUGAAAUGUUCCUUGACAGCUGGACUGCUGUUUACCGCACGCACCGCUCUGCUGCCUCUUGGUUGCACCAGUGAGCUAUUGCUCCAUGACAAACCACACCGAAAUGUAGCAAGUACUUAUUGUUGCCCACAUGUCUCAAGUCAGUUGAGUGUUUCUGCCAAUCGGGGCCUGGCUUGGCCCACCUUGGCUGAGCUUGCUCUGGUGCUAGGGUCAGCUAGACAGGUUGGCAGGAGACCAGCUGCUCUAGAAGAGCCUGGACAGGAUGAAUUGGUUCUCCUUCCACGUGCAUCUUGCAUCCCUCCAGCUAAGUAUUUGAACCCAGGUCUCAUCUGACUCCAAACGCACCAAGAAGAUGGAGCCUAGAGUGACACAGAGGAAGAGGCCCCUGGAUGGAUGCAUGGGGAAGGUAGAGGCAGGUUUCACCGUGUUAGCCAGGAUGGACUCGAUCUCCUGACCUCGUGAUCCACCUACCUCGGCCUCCCAAAGUGCUGGGAUUACAGGCGUGAGCCACUGCGCCCAGCCACCUAUGUCCUCUUUUCUACAGGUUAGAAGCAAGGCACAAGUCAUACCUACAUUCAAGGAGAGGAGACCAUGCAAAGGAUAAACUUCAGAGAGACAACAGAUUUACAUCCCAGACACAUUCACACUGGGCAAAGAGCAGCUGCCAUUGCAGAUUUGAGUCACGUCCUUUUUUCCCUCCUUCUCCUUCUUGGAGUUACAGCAGAAGCUGGGGAGGUGAGAGUGCAGAAAGGACAUGGAUGAAGCAGAGAGGCAUGUGCCUGUCUCAUUCGCCUCUGGAUCUGCUGCAUCCAGGACCAUGUCAGCACAAAGUGGGAGCCCGAUAAAUAUUUAUUGAAGAAAUGAAAGGUGACAAAAGGCAGAAGGAGGGAGACCCCCAAAAGAGCAGCACAGGAAGCUGCCCCCUCAAACCCUAAAGGCUCCUGGAGCUAUUCACAGUGCUGGGGAACAACCAGAGGAGGAGGAGGACAGAAGGAGAGAACAUUUUUUUAAAAAUCCCAAACAAAACCAAAUUCUAUACAUGUAUAUCUCGAGUGAGUAAAUGUGUAACACUCAGCA
RNAcentral lists this small RNA (2489 nucleotides) under Pongo abelii (Sumatran orangutan). RNAcentral describes it as "retained intron". The stretch from base 2023 to 2159 matches the Rfam family "T-cell leukemia/lymphoma 6 conserved region 3". The record is from RNAcentral. Lineage: Eukaryota; Metazoa; Chordata; Mammalia; Primates; Hominidae.